Molecule: ribosomal RNA, 1480 nt
Filed under: metagenome
Description: bacterial SSU rRNA
Rfam family: Bacterial small subunit ribosomal RNA
Source: RNAcentral
AGAGUUUGAUCCUGGCUCAGAACGAACGCUGGCGGCAUGGAUUAGGCAUGCAAGUCGAACGGUGAACUUCGCUUCGGUGAAGGAAUCAGUGGCGAAAGGGUGAGUAACGCGUGAGUAACUUGCCCCCAAGUUGGGAAUAACUCUGGGAAACUAGAGCUAAUACCGAAUAUAGCUAUUAUAUCGCAUGUUAUUUUAGCUAAAGAUUUAUCGCUUGGGGAUAGGCUCGCGUCCCAUUAGCUUGUUGGUAAGGUAACGGCUUACCAAGGCAACGAUGGGUAGCUGGUCUGAGAGGACGAUCAGCCACACUGGGACUGAGACACUGCCCAGACUCCUACGGGAGGCUGCAGUCGAGAAUCUUCCGCAAUGGGCGAAAGCCUGACGGAGCAAUGCCGCGUGCAGGAUGAAGGCCUUCGGGUUGUAAACUGCUGUCACUGGGGACGAAUAUUGACGGUACCCAGAGAGGAAGCCACGGCUAACUACGUGCCAGCAGCCGCGGUAAUACGUAGGUGGCGAGCGUUGUUCGGAUUUAUUGGGCGUAAAGGGUCCGCAGGGGGCUAGUUAAGUCUGAUGUGAAAUCUCACGGCUCAACCGUGAAACUGCAUUGGAAACUGAUUAGCUAGAGUAUCGGAGAGGAGAGUGGAAUUCCAGGUGUAGCGUGGAAUGCGUAGAUAUCUGGAGGAACACCAAUAGCGAAGGCAGCUCUCUGGACGAUUACUGACCCUCAGGGACGAAAGCGUGGGUAGCAAACAGGAUUAGAUACCCUGGUAGUCCACGCUGUAAACGUUGUGAACUUGGUGUGGGGAGAUUUAGCCCUCUCCGUGCCGGAGCUAACGCAUUAAGUUCACCGCCUGGGGACUACGGCCGCAAGGCUAAAACUCAAAGGAAUUGACGGGGGCCCGCACAAGCGGUGGAGCAUGUGGCUUAAUUCGAGGCAACGCGAAGAGCCUUACCUGGGUUUGACAUAUACCGGAUUGCUAUGGAAACAUAGCUUCCCUUCGGGGCUGGUAUACAGGUGCUGCAUGGCUGUCGUCAGCUCGUGCCGUGAGGUGUUCGGUUAAGUCCGGCAACGAGCGCAACCCGUGUCGUUAGUUGCUACCAGGUAAUGCUGGGCACUCUAGCGAGACUGCCCGUGUUAAGCGGGAGGAAGGCGCGGAUGACGUCAAGUCCGUAUGGCCCUUAUAUCCAGGGCUGCACACGUGCUACAAUGACUGGUACAAUGGGACGCAAUACUGCGAAGUGGAGCAAAUCCUGAAAACCAGCCUUAGUUCGGAUUGGAGUCUGCAACUCGACUCCAUGAAGUUGGAAUCGCUAGUAAAGGCGUAUCAGCUACGACGCCUUGAAUACGUUCCCGGGCCUUGUACACACCGCCCGUCGCAUCAUGGAAGCUGAUUGCACCCGAAGUCGUUGACUCAACCUGUUUUAAAUAGGAGAGAGACGCCGAAGGUGUGGUUAGUGACUGGGAUGAAGUCGUAACAAGGUA